AACGAACGCUGGCGGCAGGCUUAACACAUGCAAGUCGAACGGGUGUAGCAAUACAUCAGUGGCAGACGGGUGAGUAACACGUGGGAACCUUCCUAGAGGUACGGAACAACGCAGGGAAACUUGCGCUAAUACCGUAUACGCUCGAGAGAGGAAAGAUUUAUCGCCUUUAGACGGGCCCGCGUCGGAUUAGCUAGUUGGUAAGGUAACUGCUUACCAAGGCGACGAUCCGUAGCUGAUCUGAGAGGAUGAUCAGCCACACUGGGACUGAGACACGGCCCAGACUCCUACGGGAGGCAGCAGUGGGGAAUUUUGGACAAUGGGCGCAAGCCUGAUCCAGCCAUGCCGCGUGAGUGAAGAAGGCCUUCGGGUUGUAAAGCUCUUUUACCAGGGACGAUAAUGACGGUACCUGGAGAAUAAGCCCCGGCAAACUUCGUGCCAGCCGCCGCCGUAA
This 451-nucleotide ribosomal RNA is filed under the name uncultured bacterium. RNAcentral describes it as "partial 16S ribosomal RNA". It matches the Rfam family "Bacterial small subunit ribosomal RNA", at positions 29 to 523 of the family's 1533-position model. The record is from RNAcentral.